GCUCAUGGCUUUCACUGGUAUUGGUUUAUUUCUGUCUGGACUCAUAGGAUUCAUCUGUCUGUGCCGCUUUACCAGUUCUGCUGAUGUUCUCACAGAACUGAACUACAUCUCCUGCCAGAUGGAAACAACAUCUCUUUUAACUUCCUCUGUGUGCUCCUCAAAACAUGAAUGACUUGUUUACUUUCUUCACUUGUUGCCUUUAAACACAAAAAAUGAUAUGUACAGAAAGAUAAUACAGUAUUUAGCUACUGAAUUUAUAUACUGAUCAGCAGACCACACAGAAUCUGUGGAGCUUUUUUUCCCCACAUUUUGAUUUUGGGAGAAAAUAGAUUUUUUUUUAUGGGUAAAAUGUGUUAAAUGUAGGUGAAAGUCAUCUGUGGAGUUAAGAUGCAGAUUCAUUACAAGAUCAGAGAUCGGUACAGAUCUGAGGCUUAAGAAAUAUAAAAUCUAAUUUAUGUCAUUUUUUUGUAUUUUAUUUUUUUAUCAACAAUUGUAACAUAUACAUGUACAAGAGUACAUGUAUAAUAAAGUUGCAGCAUGGUAUAAACAAUUUCAUAAAAUUUGCAUAAUGCCUUUAAUUUGUAAUAUUUUCAGUUUCAGUUGUCUGAUCAAAGAGCAACUGACCGCUUGACAUUGUCUGCAUGUUUUAUGCAUUAAUGAGCAAACGUGUACCUAAUAAAGAGACUACAAGGUGAA
This is a long non-coding RNA of Cyprinus carpio (common carp), 696 nucleotides long. RefSeq lists it as uncharacterized. The transcript has 2 exons. NCBI's taxonomy places the organism in Eukaryota, Metazoa, Chordata, Actinopteri, Cypriniformes, Cyprinidae. The record is from RefSeq and is a predicted model, not a curated record.